AUAUCAAUAAGCGGAGGAAAAGAAACCAACUGGGAUUGCCCUAGUAACGGCGAGUGAAGCGGCAACAGCUCAAAUUUGAAAUCUGGCUCUUUUAGAGUCCGAAUUGUAAUUUGUAGAGGGUGUUUCGGCGUAGACCAUGGUCUAAGUGCCUGGAAUGGCAUGUCAGAGAGGGUGAGAACCCCGUCUUUGGCCAGUGGUUUGCGCCAUGUGAAACCCCUUCAACGAGUCGAGUUGUUUGGGAAUGCAGCUCUAAAUGGGAGGUAAAUUUCUUCUAAAGCUAAAUACUGGCCAGAGACCGAUAGCGCACAAGUA
RNAcentral lists this ribosomal RNA (312 nucleotides) under uncultured eukaryote. Its description in RNAcentral is "partial large subunit ribosomal RNA". It matches the Rfam family "Eukaryotic large subunit ribosomal RNA", at positions 40 to 350 of the family's 3401-position model. The record is from RNAcentral.